Molecule: ribosomal RNA, 253 nt
Filed under: uncultured bacterium
Lineage: Bacteria
Description: partial 16S ribosomal RNA
Rfam family: Bacterial small subunit ribosomal RNA
Source: RNAcentral
UACAGAGGGUGCAAGCGUUGUUCGGAAUUACUGGGCGUAAAGCGCGUGUAGGCUGCCCCGCAAGUCGGAUGUGAAAGCCCUGGGCUCAACCUAGGAAGUGCAUUCGAAACUGCGGGGCUGGAGUCCUGGAGAGGAAGGCGGAAUUCUCGGUGUAGAGGUGAAAUUCGUAGAUAUCGAGAGGAACACCGGUGGCGAAGGCGGCCUUCUGGACAGUGACUGACGCUGAGACGCGAAAGCGUGGGGAGCAAACAGG